CCGGCGGGGGUGCAUAUACAUGCAAGUCGAGCGAAUGGAUUAAGAGCUUGCUCUUAUGAAGUUAGCGGCGGACGGGUGAGUAACACGUGGGUAACCUGCCCAUAAGACUGGGAUAACUCCGGGAAACCGGGGCUAAUACCGGAUAACAUUUUGAACCGCAUGGUUCGAAAUUGAAAGGCGGCUUCGGCUGUCACUUAUGGAUGGACCCGCGUCGCAUUAGCUAGUUGGUGAGGUAACGGCUCACCAAGGCAACGAUGCGUAGCCGACCUGAGAGGGUGAUCGGCCACACUGGGACUGAGACACGGCCCAGACUCCUACGGGAGGCAGCAGUAGGGAAUCUUCCGCAAUGGACGAAAGUCUGACGGAGCAACGCCGCGUGAGUGAUGAAGGCUUUCGGGUCGUAAAACUCUGUUGUUAGGGAAGAACAAGUGCUAGUUGAAUAAGCUGGCACCUUGACGGUACCUAACCAGAAAGCCACGGCUAACUACGUGCCAGCAGCCGCGGUAAUACGUAGGUGGCAAGCGUUAUCCGGAAUUAUUGGGCGUAAAGCGCGCGCAGGUGGUUUCUUAAGUCUGAUGUGAAAGCCCACGGCUCAACCGUGGAGGGUCAUUGGAAACUGGGAGACUUGAGUGCAGAAGAGGAAAGUGGAAUUCCAUGUGUAGCGGUGAAAUGCGUAGAGAUAUGGAGGAACACCAGUGGCGAAGGCGACUUUCUGGUCUGUAACUGACACUGAGGCGCGAAAGCGUGGGGAGCAAACAGGAUUAGAACCUGGGG
This 774-nucleotide ribosomal RNA is filed under the name Bacillus subtilis. Its description in RNAcentral is "bacterial SSU rRNA". It matches the Rfam family "Bacterial small subunit ribosomal RNA", at positions 36 to 792 of the family's 1533-position model. Lineage: Bacteria; Bacillati; Bacillota; Bacilli; Caryophanales; Bacillaceae. The record is from RNAcentral.